This 537-nucleotide ribosomal RNA is filed under the name Triticum aestivum (bread wheat). RNAcentral describes it as "partial small subunit ribosomal RNA". Lineage: Eukaryota; Viridiplantae; Streptophyta; Magnoliopsida; Poales; Poaceae. The record is from RNAcentral.
AUGCUCCACGACCUCCGGGGCUUCCCGAGCCGCCGGAUCUCCUGCUUCAUGCUCACGCACUCCUUCUCCAGCUCCGACACCCGCGCCUUCACGUUGCUCAUGGUCUCGCUUCCCUUCCCCUCGGGCGUGACCAUCACCACCUCCUCGUCCUGGCCGGCCACGCCGCUGUCCACAACGGCACUGCCCUUGGGGACGAUGGCGCCGGCGUUGCCGGGGUGGUGCAGGCGCGCGCCGUCGGUGGCCGUGGCGGCGUUGUCCGACACGAAGAACCACCCGGCGAUGGAGGUGCGGAGGCGCAGCUGCUCGAAGAAGAGCACCUGCACCACCACCCGCAGCGGCAGCCGCUCGUUCUGCGCUGCGUGCGUGCACGCCUCCAGCGACAGCUUCUGGCAGUUCAUCAGCCGGCACAGCUGCUCCCGCUCCGACUCCGACAGCCAAUGGUGCGACUGCACGCACGCGGCUCAAAUGUUAAGUAAGAGAGAGACAGUGAUGAAAUGCCAACGGAGCAAACCGAAAUGUGUCCGUGAGUUGUUGUGA